AACGCGAAGAACCUUACCUGGGCUCGAAAUGCAGAGGGAGAUGUCAGAAAUGACUUCGUCCGAAAGGACUUCUGUAUAGGUGCUGCAUGGCUGUCGUCAGCUCGUGCCGUGAGGUGUUUGGUUAAGUCCAGCAACGAGCGCAACCCUUAUCAUUAGUUGCCAACACGUAAGGUGGGGACUCUAAUGAGACUGCCUAGGUUAACUAGGAGGAAGGCGAGGAUGACGUCAAGUCCGCAUGGCCUUUAUGUCCAGGGCUACACACGUGCUACAAUGGUCGGUACAGAGGGCUGCAAGACCGUAAGGUGGAGCAAAUCCCAGAAAGCCGAUCUCAGUUCAGAUUGUGGUCUGCAACUCGACCACAUGAAGUCGGAAUUGCUAGUAAUGGCGUGUCAGCAAUAACGCCGUGAAUACGUUCCCGGGCCUUGUA
This 427-nucleotide ribosomal RNA is filed under the name uncultured Chlamydiae bacterium. RNAcentral's name for it is "bacterial SSU rRNA". It matches the Rfam family "Bacterial small subunit ribosomal RNA", at positions 958 to 1385 of the family's 1533-position model. Lineage: Bacteria; Pseudomonadati; Chlamydiota; Chlamydiia. The record is from RNAcentral.